Gastrolobium bilobum is the source of this 2501-nucleotide RNA transcript. It is a transcript of the gene named two-component response regulator-like APRR1, with no coding region annotated. The record is from RefSeq and is a predicted model, not a curated record. The transcript is spliced from 7 exons. Lineage: Eukaryota; Viridiplantae; Streptophyta; Magnoliopsida; Fabales; Fabaceae.
AACAUGCGCCCCCUUCUCUCCCAGCCGUCGGAUGUUGUUGUGCCCACACUGGUUGUUCAACCACCGUCCGAUGGGUUGACGCCUGAGUUUUGUGAAAUAGUAUGAUAUAGGUGUUGAAAUUUGAUCGAUUCCUAUUGGGUGUGUGUGAAAUGUGAACAAGAUUUGAUUUUGUAUGGAGAUUAGGUUGUUUUUUUGACAACAUCGGGCAUAGUAGUGGUUGUUGCUAUGGAGUCUGAAGAACUAAUAAAUCUGAGCAACAAAAAGAGUAAUUGUGGUGGAAAUAAUAGCAAGAGUGGUGAUGGUUUCGUUGACAGAAGCAAAGUUCGGAUUUUGUUAUGCGAUAAUGAUUCAAAGAGUUCCGAAGAGGUUGUUACUCUUCUUUUGAGAUGCUCUUAUCAGGUUACUUCGGUAAGGUCACCAAGGCAAGUAAUUGAUGCGCUGAAUGCAGAAGGGCAAUUUAUAGAUAUCAUACUAGCUGAAGUUGACCUUCCAAUAAAGAAAGGCAUGAAGAUGUUGAAGUUCAUAGCACGAGAUAAAGAAUUCAGCCGAAUCCCUGUUAUAAUGAUGUCUGCACAAGAUGAAGUAUCUAUUGUUGUCAAGUGCUUGAGACUUGGAGCAGCAGACUAUCUAGUAAAGCCGUUAGGCUCUAAUGAACUAUUAAAUUUGUGGACGCACAUGUGGAGAAGGAGACGCAUGAUUGGACUUGCAGAGAACAGCAUCUUGAAUUAUGACUUUGAUCUGGUAGCAUCGGACCCAAGUGAUGCCAAUACAAAUAGUACCACCUUGUUUUCUGAUGACAUAGAUGAUAAGUCCAAAAGAAGCACUAAUCCGGAGGAAGAAAUAUCAAUCCAACAAGAACAAGAGGCUAGUAUUGCCGCAGAUAUUAUUGUUACUGAGGAGCUUCCAGAUGCUCAUGUAUCCGAAUGUCAGCCUGAUGUGCCUGGAAUUAGUGAUCGCCGAACAGGUCAUUUCUCAUCUGCUCCAAAGAAGAGUGAACUAAGAAUUGGAGAGUCAUCGGCCUUUAUCACUUAUGUCAAAGCUCCAUUGCCGAAUAGCAACUUUGAAAUGAUUUCUCAUGUUGGCAAUAAUGCAACUACACAAGGGAUGGUGGAAGAUAAGAAUCAAGCAUGUGCUCAAUACAGGGUUAAUGACCUUCAACCACACGAAGAUGGAGUAACCUUUGAAAGCCAUUCACAAGAUGACUUACCCAGCAGCAAUAGUGUCCCUGAUUCUUUCUCUAAUGAGAAAUCUUGCACUCCGCCUGCAUCAAGAGAUGUUUCACGGCAAAAUCAUUACAAGGAAGAACUUCCUCAGGGUGUGGUGAAUCCAAGAAAUAGAAGUCGAGGUUCUGAGCUUGAUGCAUCUGGCAUGCCUUCCCAACAUGCUUAUCCAUAUUAUCUUUCAGGAGUUGUUAAUCAAGUUAUGAUGCCAUCGUCAGCGCAAUUAUAUCAAAAGAAUAUCCAGGACCUGCAGAGUCAUGCUAAUUCAUCUAUGAUUGCACAGUACAAUCAUCUUCCCCAAUGUUUUCCUCAUGCAACUGGGAUGACAUCCAUCCCAUAUUAUCCAAUGAAUAUUUGCUUACAAGCUGGUGAGAUUUCCCGAGCUCAUUCAUGGUCACCGUUAGGAAGUUCAAGUUCAUGCGAAGUAAAAUCAAGGAAAUUUGAUGGGAGACAAGCAGCAUUGAUGAAGUUUAGACAGAAAAGGAAAGAGCGCUGUUUUGACAAGAAAAUUAGGUAUGUCAAUAGGAAACAACUUGCUGAAAGGCGACCUCGUGUGAGGGGACAGUUUGUCAGAAAGUUGAAUGAUGUUAACGUGGAUCUUAAUGGACAGCCUGCUUCCACUGAUUAUGAUAAUGAUGAUGAAGAUGAAGAAGACAACCCUGCCUAGGAUGCUUUAGAAUGUCAAAUUGCUUCUUUGAACAAAGGGUGAAUGGCCAAUAAAAUCCUUACUGCACUAAAAUUGUCACGGUGAGGACUUGGUACUGUUCCUUGCUCUGUUGGAAAAUUAUUGUGUCAGCAUUAAUUGAUGAGCUUGUGAACUCGGUUUGUCAUGGAAGCUGAUCCAAUUCCGGUGUACACCCUUAUCAUUUGGGGUUAUAACAAACUCUUGCUCGGUCUUUUUUGAAUUUCACUUCCUUAAGUGAUUCAUCUUCCUGAGCUAGAAGGCCAUUGUGAAUAAGAUGCAAAGCACAUAACACCAUAGAAGUCAUUGAAGAUGAGAUAAAAGGCAAAUGGUGGUAUGCUAAUAUUACUAGCCAAUCCUGAUCUCAGAUAUCCCAAGCAGUACGUUCUACAAUCAUACAUGCCAUUAGCUUAGUUACAGUUCAAGAAGCAUAGCAUUGACACCUAUUAAUAUCAGAUGGGACUGGGAGGGUGGAAAAAGAGUUGACAGUAUGUUUGGCUAUUAGCCUUUUCUCUUCCCGAGCAGCCAAGAAAUUAGCUUAAGCCCCCUCAACAAAUUUGCAUCAAUCAGUUCCGGUAUGCAUGGCAUCAACCUGAAAA